AGAGUUUGAUCCUGGCUCAGAAUGAACGUUGGCGGCGCGCUUAACACAUGCAAGUCGAGCGAGAAAGUUUCUUCGGAAACGAGUACAGCGGCGGACGGGUGAGUACCGCGUAAGAAUCUACCCUUUAGUGAAGAAUACCCUCGAGAAAUUGAGGUUAAUACUGCAUAAGUCCCUUCGGGGAGAAAGAUGGCCUCUUUGCUGUCGCUAAAGGAUGAGCUUGCGUACUAUUAGUUUGUUGGUGGGGUAAUGGCCUACCAAGACGACGAUGGUUAGCCGACCUGAGAGGGUGAUCGGCCACACUGGAACUUAGACACGGUCCAGACUCCUACGGGAGGCAGCAGUGAGGAAUUUUGCGCAAUGGGCGAAAGCCUGACGCAGCGACGCCGCGUGAAGGAUGAAGGCCUUAGGGUCGUAAACUUCUGUGGAGUGGGAAGAAAGACCAUUCUCUAAUACAGAAUGGGGAUGACGGUACCACUUUAGAAAGCACCGGCUAAUCUCGUGCCAGCAGACGCGGUAAUACGAGAGGUGCAAACGUUAUUCGGAAUUAUUGGGCGUAAAGGGUGCGUAGGCGGCUUUUUAAGUCUGUUGUUUAAUCCUCCGGCCUAACCGGAGACCAGCAAUGGAUACUGAAGAGCUUGAGGGAGGAAGAGAGAAGUGGAAUUCUCGGAGUAGCGGUAAAAUGCGUAGAUCUCGAGAGGAACACCAAUGGCGAAGGCAGCUUCUUGGUCCUCUUCUGACGCUGAGGCACGAAAGCGUGGGUAGCAAACAGGAUUAGAUACCCUGGUAGUCCACGCCGUAAACGAUGAUCACUAGAUGUUGGUUCUGCUUGCAGAAUUAGUAUCGUAGCUAACGCGUUAAGUGAUCCGCCUGGGGAGUACGGUCGCAAGACUAAAACUCAAAGGAAUUGACGGGGGUCCGCACAAGCGGUGGAACAUGUGGUUUAAUUCGACAAUACGCGAGGAACCUUACCUGGGCUUGACAUGCUUUUGACCGUCAUGGAAACAUGGCUUUCCAAGUUUACUUGGACAAUUGCACAGGUGCUGCAUGGCUGUCGUCAGCUCGUGUCGUGAGAUGUUAGGUUAAGUCCUCUAACGAGCGCAACUCCUAUCGUUAGUUGCUAUCCAUUUAUG
This 1130-nucleotide ribosomal RNA is filed under the name marine metagenome. RNAcentral's name for it is "bacterial SSU rRNA". It matches the Rfam family "Bacterial small subunit ribosomal RNA", at positions 8 to 1130 of the family's 1533-position model. The record is from RNAcentral.